Molecule: non-coding RNA, 29 nt
Filed under: Mus musculus (house mouse)
Lineage: Eukaryota; Metazoa; Chordata; Mammalia; Rodentia; Muridae
Source: RNAcentral
UAUUCUUUUAUAUUGUCUGGGUGCCCCAC